Molecule: long non-coding RNA, 1123 nt
Filed under: Cyclopterus lumpus (lumpfish)
Lineage: Eukaryota; Metazoa; Chordata; Actinopteri; Perciformes; Cyclopteridae
Description: lncRNA (ENSCLMG00005013944.1)
Source: RNAcentral
UGCAGAGGAGCGGAUACGAAGAGAAGUCUGUUUGAUUCACCGUGUGUUUACCAUCACAGUGAACGGGAGCCCCGUGCAGCCCGUUGGGGUCCAGAACGCGUUGGUCCAGCAUGCUGCAGACCCCCUGCAGACCGACCCCCAUCCAACGCAGGAGGACGAGGCCGACAUAAGGAACACCGUCAACGGGGCGACCGGGGACGGCCCGGAGACGGUCGGCCCGGAGACGGUCGGCCCGGAGACGGUCGGCCCGGGGACGGACGGCGGGCUGCGGGACGCGGUAGACUCUGAAGACCUCCUGCCAGCAGCCGACACGCCUCCACCCUCCUCCUCCUCCUCCUCCUCCUCCUCCUCCUCCUCCUCCUCGGAGGGUUUCUACCUCCCCUCUCUCCCCUGCUCACCCACCCCCUCCCUGGCCGACCAGGCCCUCUCCAGGCUGAACUGCCCCGCCUCCUCCGAGCCGACCAAUCACAGAGAAAGUCCACCCAUGGAUACUUGUGACCUCAGUCUCGUGGCUCUGGAGGUGGACAGUGAGGAGGACGAGUCGCUGCUCUCGCCCGUCGAGAAAAGUGACGACGGAGGGGAAGUCCUUGGCCCCGCCCCCGAGCUCACGGGCACUCGCAGCCUGUCGGCCUCCUCGGCGCGUGAACCCGGCGCUAAAGAAACGGGCGCCCAGGGGAUCCGACUGCGCUCGUAUUCCUACUCUUCGCCCAAAAUCAGCCUGCGUCCGGCUCGUUUAACCCGGGACCAGCACGCUGCAGACCUCAGCCCUGAUGGCGUCCUCCACGGCGUCAGCCACAGCCGGUCUCUGCUUCAGGCCCUCUCUCUGUCUAAGUCUCUGUCUCUUCUCUACCCUGGUAGUAAGUACUGGACACCUGGCACAUAGCUGUGUGUGUGUGUGUGUGUGUGUGUGUGUGUGUGUGUGUGCAAUAAACAUUCACAUUUGCAAAUGAAAAGACGGCUGCUUGCUCUGCGGCCGGUGACGUGCGUGUGCUCGUGCAUUGUUCUGUGGCCGUGUUUCUUUGCAUAUCCACUGUGGGUUUUUUUAAUUCAUAAACGCUUCAGUACCAACGGCUCCUCCGGCGGGCUCCGUCUCACGCGUUCACUCUCAAGUUUUAAUACUUCU